UCCAAAGAGACUUAGUGGCGAACGGGUGAGUAACACGUAGGUAACCUGCCCAUGUGUCCGGGAUAACUGCUGGAAACGGUAGCUAAAACCGGAUAGGUAUACAGAGCGCAUGCUCAGUAUAUUAAAGCGCCCAUCAAGGCGUGAACAUGGAUGGACCUGCGGCGCAUUAGCUAGUUGGUGAGGUAACGGCCCACCAAGGCAAUGAUGCGUAGCCGGCCUGAGAGGGUAAACGGCCACAUUGGGACUGAGACACGGCCCAAACUCCUACGGGAGGCAGCAGUAGGGAAUUUUCGUCAAUGGGGGAAACCCUGAACGAGCAAUGCCGCGUGAGUGAAGAAGGUCUUCGGAUCGUAAAGCUCUGUUGUAAGUGAAGAACGGCUCAUAGAGGAAAUGCUAUGGGAGUGACGGUAGCUUACCAGAAAGCCACGGCUAACUACGUGCCAGCAGCCGCGGUAAUACGUAGGUGGCAAGCGUUAUCCGGAAUCAUUGGGCGUAAAGGGUGCGUAGGUGGCGUACUAAGUCUGUAGUAAAAGGCAAUGGCUCAACCAUUGUAAGCUAUGGAAACUGGUAUGCUGGAGUGCAGAAGAGGGCGAUGGAAUUCCAUGUGUAGCGGUAAAAUGCGUAGAUAUAUGGAGGAACACCAGUGGCGAAGGCGGUCGCCUGGUCU
RNAcentral lists this ribosomal RNA (667 nucleotides) under uncultured Mollicutes bacterium. RNAcentral describes it as "bacterial SSU rRNA". It matches the Rfam family "Bacterial small subunit ribosomal RNA", at positions 77 to 735 of the family's 1533-position model. Lineage: Bacteria; Bacillati; Mycoplasmatota; Mollicutes. The record is from RNAcentral.